Molecule: ribosomal RNA, 820 nt
Filed under: uncultured bacterium
Lineage: Bacteria
Description: bacterial SSU rRNA
Rfam family: Bacterial small subunit ribosomal RNA
Source: RNAcentral
CGGCGCUGCCUACCAUGCAAGUCGAACGGUAACAGGCCUUCGGGCGCUGACGAGUGGCGGACGGGUGAGUAAUGCAUAGGAAUUUGCCUUGAAGUGGGGGAUAGCCCGGAGAAAUCCGGAUUAAUACCGCAUAUGUUCUACGGAACAAAGUGGGCCUCUGAUUUAAGCUCAUGCUUUGAGAUAAGCCUAUGUCGGAUUAGCUAGUUGGUAGGGUAAAAGCCUACCAAGGCGACGAUCCGUAGCUGGUUUGAGAGGAUGAUCAGCCACACUGGGACUGAGACACGGCCCAGACUCCUACGGGAGGCAGCAGUGGGGAAUAUUGGACAAUGGGCGCAAGCCUGAUCCAGCAAUGCCGCGUGUGUGAAGAAGGCCUGCGGGUUGUAAAGCACUUUUAUCGGGAAAGAAAUCCUUGGAGCUAAUACCUUCAAGGCUUGACGGUACCCGAGGAAUAAGCACCGGCUAACUCAGUGCCAGCAGCCGCGGUAAUACUGAGGGUGCGAGCGUUAAUCGGAAUUACUGGGCGUAAAGCGAGUGUAGGCGGCUUCGUAAGUCGGAUGUGAAAGCCCUGGGCUUAACCUGGGAAUGCCAUUCGAUACUGCGCGGCUAGAGUUUGAUAGAGGAAAGUGGAAUUCCAGGUGUAGCGGUGAAAUGCGUAGAUAUCUGGAGGAACAUCAGUGGCGAAGGCGGCUUUCUGGAUCAAAACUGACGCUGAGGCUCGAAAGCGUGGGUAGCAAACAGGAUUAGAUACCCUGGUAGUCCACGCCCUAAACGAUGUCAACUAGACGUUGGGCCCCAUUUAAGGGGUUAGUGUCGAAGCUAA